Molecule: long non-coding RNA, 6325 nt
Filed under: Mytilus galloprovincialis (Mediterranean mussel)
Lineage: Eukaryota; Metazoa; Mollusca; Bivalvia; Mytilida; Mytilidae
Source: RNAcentral
CAUUUAAACAGCUUUUAACUUUUAUUUACACUAAAAUAUUAGGAACAUAAUGAUAUAUUUUGAUUAGUAAGCUAAAUAAAUGAAUCCCAAAAACUAGUUCGUUUCUAUGACCCAUUUCACUGAAAUACUUGUAACUUUAUUAAAUUUAGGUUGAAGAAAUGUCUCAAUGUGAAUUUGUGUAAACCAUUUUACUGUUCAUUUAUUGAACGUCAACCUGUAUCACCUGGUAAAAGAAGGCGCAUGUUAAAAUAAUGCUGUGCAAAAAGCCUGUUUAAAAUUUAUAAUUUGUACAAAAUCAUAACGUGUAAGCAACAUAUACCAAGAGGCCAAAAUCUUAUUAUCAAUACUACGGUGGAUUCAUUUAUUUUCGUGGGUACCAAUUUUCGUGGAGGAAGGAAAACUCAAUGCUUAUGUUCUCGGGACCUUUAAUUUUGUGGUUUUGACAAAGUCUUCAUACAAGCCUGUAGAAAAUUUGUCAUUCGUUGGACAUUUAAUUUUGUGGUACACCUAUAACCACGAAAAUUGGUAUCCCAACGAAUAAUUGUGAAUCCACAGUAUUAAUUUUUUUAACAUAUUUCUUUUUUUUGAACUUUACAACUUGAUUAUUUCUAUGUUAGUAUUUACUAUAUAUAAUUAAAUGAGACAUGUGUCAUAAAUCUACAGCACUUUGUCAAAACAUUAUCUAAAUUUAGAGAUUAAGAAUAUUCUAGAGCACACGAUUAAACAAUACCCUUUCACCAGUGCCAAAUAUAAAGGAUUACCCGUGCAGUUCGAUUUUUUCUCUCCUUGUUACAGAAAUUUAGUAAAAAUGUUAAAAUGAUAUACUAUUAGGUCUUUUUUACUAUUGUAAAUUCCAAAGAAACAAACAGAAAAAUAUCAAAAAUUACAUUGGAGAUCAUUUAAGCAGUAAGAGCUAAAUGCAUCAAAAAUUCAAACUGUUUAUUUUAUUUUUCAUCAUAAUUUGUCAGUGUAAAUUAGCAUACUGAAUAAUUUUAUUAAAUUUAAUGUACAGUGAGACCUGGCUAAACCGAAUCCUGCAUAAAUCGGAAACCUGUAUAAACCAAACAUGUUCUUAAGCACCGUCAUAUCAAAUUAUGUGCAUUGAGAACCUGAUAAAACUGAACAUAGGCCAAAACGGAACAAAGUCUUAAGUCCCGAAAAGGUUCGGUUUAAACAGGUUACACUGUAUCAGUAUUUGACCAGCACCUGUUAACACAUUUUCCCAUCUAAAACAACUAGCCUUUCCCUCAACUAAAAAACUAUGAAUACCCCUAUUUCAGCAACUAUACAAUUACUUUUUAUUUUAAAAUUAAGUUGGCUAGUAAUGGUAAGUUUUUGGUUGAAAUUUGUUCUGUAUAUGGUCAGUACUGAGUAGUCCUUUUCAAUGCAAAAAAGGACAUUGGGUAAAGAAGACUAGAAUCAUCAUAAAAAAUCAGACAAUUAAUUUCAGUAGACCAGUGGCAUCCAAGUUUAAAGGCUGUUAAAAAUGGACAAACAGUAAAAUGUUUUUAAUAAUACUUCAGCUGUGUAGCUCCAGAAAUAAUUGAAAGUUCCUGAGAUUGCUCAGAUUGCCAAUUGGCUGUUUCAGAAUCUAAAGUACUAUGGGUAAUUUCAUUGUUCGUACCCAAAAUGAAAAUAACGUCACAUCAUUGGUUGAAUUUUCAUUGUUUUGGACGUUUUCAACCAAUCACAACGUUUUGGUGUACACUUCUGAAAAUAUUACCCACAAUUCAUUAGAUUUUGAAACAGCCAAUUAUGAUAACGAAGCACCACAUUACAAUUCUUGCAUCCAAAAUGGUUUCUGGUUAAUAAUAAGUAAUUACUUACAAGAUGAUUCAGUUUUACCAAAGAAUAAUAAAAAAAAUACCCUUUUAGCAAAUAUAUUUUUUAAUACGAUACAAAAAAUCUAUUCUAUAAACUAAAAUAUCUUGGUUUUUAGAACAAAAAAAAAAUAUUUUCUAGUAGGAUAUCAUCAGCUUAUUUUAUUUGAAUAAAAACUUAAAGCAAGAAUAUAUUGAGAUUUCUUUAAUAUAUACUGGAUGGACUGACAAAAAGAUAAAGACUAUGAGUGAUGAUGACAAAAUGACAAAAAUCUAUCUACAAUAUAAUGCUUUUAUUAACCAUUUGCAAGUGCUAUUAACCAAUAGGAAAACCUACUACAUGUAAAAACAGUACAAUAGAUAUUCAAAUUUUCUGCUUUGUCUAUUACAGAGAUGUUUUUUUAUUAUUUGCUGUUGAAUUUUUUUUCUUCAAAACUGGAAAAUUCUUAAACAAUAAAUUAUUAUUAACUGGAUUUUGAAGUUAAUUUUGUUAUAUAAUCAUCCAAAUGAAAUUGCCUCAUUAAUUUUUUUUUUGUAAAUAAUUUAUUUGUGGUUUGUCAUCUAAAUGGGGAUCAGCAAAGAUUCAUGAAAAAUUAUUUUUAGCAUCUGAAUGUCUCAGUACCUAUCACCCAAUAAAUUAUACACAUGACCAUUCACCUCAACUAAUUAACAUAUUUAUAUUCUACUGCAAACAAUCUAUCAUUAUGAUCUUGAUGCGUAAACAUGUAAACUAUUUGAAAAUGACACGAUAAAGACCAAAAUAGAAGAAGCUCUUGUAUUCCAUACUGAAUAGACAAUUUUAUGCAAUGAUGGAAGUUCUAAAGAAGAUAGUGUUAGCCAUCUAACCUACCACCUGAUUUCACCAGAUUCCCCCGUUUUACUUUUUUCUUCUUAAGGUGGUACCUAACACUACAGGGAGAUAACUCUGUAAAAUCAGCUAAACGUUUUAAUCACGUUGUGUUGUUAAGAGAAUAUAAAGCUUCUCAAUGAUCAAAAGUAGUGUUUGUCAAACUGCUAUGUAACCAGUGUAUUUUUUCUGAUAAAACGGUUGGUUCAAAUUUUUUGAAAUUUUUAUAUUUGUGUCCAAUGGUCAAGUUAAAAACUUUGUCAAAAUUUUAUGAAAAUUAAACGAGCCAAAUUAAUUUUAGUGAAAGUGUUGGGUACCACCUUAAGAAGUAUAUAAAUAUUAUUCUCGUGUAUGCUAUGCAAAAUAUUUCAAGACCAUGGCUAUAUCAUGGCGGUCAGUGUUCUGUUGAUGUAGGAAGCUGGCAUCCAAUUGAUAACCACCAUACUUUAAACAAUAUCAAUAGCAAUUUUGUCAUUUAACAUCUUAAAGCAUCUAGACGUGAGCAGGGUUUGAACUCAAAAUCUCAAAAGUUGAAAGGAUAAUGAUCACUGUGGUUGAUCUUAUUUGCCACUGUGGCCCAAUGGGUAAUAUGCAACAAUACUAAAACUGAUAGGGUCUGAAGCUCAUGAAAAUUGAUAAAAGUACUGAAACUGCUGAUGGUUUUAAGAUCACAAUUUUUUAUUUUUUUUUGUCUUUCCUAUUUACCAUACUGAUAUGGUCUGAAACUCCGGAAAAUUAAUAAAAGCACUGAAACUGCUAAUGGUACUAGAUCACAACAAUUUUUUUAAUUUUUUUAAUUUUUUUUUUUUCCUAUUUACCAUUCUGAUAAGGUCUGAAACUCAGGAAAAUUGAUAAUAGCAUUGAAACUGCUGAUGGAGAUACAAUCACAACUAUGUUUUUUCUUUCUUUCCUAUUUACCUUAUUAUAUACAAAUUGAAAGCACAUUAUAAAAUAAAAUUAUAUGAUAUGAAAAACUCUUCCUUGUCAUAUAUAAAGAAACAAAAUAUGAUAAUACAUUUACAUAAAAUAUAUGAACAUUUAAAUAGCACUUAAUUGGCAAAGACAAAUAAAAUAAACAAACAAAAUCACAUUUAUCAAUAGACACAACAUCUAAAUCACAAAACAUAUCACAAAAUUAAUAUAAGAAUGUAUUUUUUGUAGUCCAACAAAGGAAAAUUUACUAAUUUCAAUGAAGUUCCAGGUGAUGCUAUUUGAAAUUAAAAUUUCAUUUAUCUUUGCAUGCUGUAAAUAUCAGCAACAAAAAAGAAACUUGCACAAAGCAAUUCAACUACUGUAGAUUCAUUUAUUUUCGUGGGAACAAAUUUUCCUGGAUUGAGGAAAACUUGCAUUUUCAUGGAUAUUUGAUUUCAUGGUUUUGCAAAGUUCUGCAUAAGGUGGUACCUAACACAACAGGGAGAUAACUAUGUAAAGUCAUCUAAACGUUUUAAUUACGUUGUGUUGUAAAAGGAAUAUUUAGCUUCUCAAUGAUCAAAAUUGGUGUUUGUCAAACUGCUAUAUAACCAGUGUAAUUUUUCUGACAAAACGGUUGGUUCAAAAAUUUUGAAUUUUUUAUAUUUUUGUUAAAGGAUCAAAGUACAUACUUUGACAAAAUUUUAUGAAAAUUAAACAAGCCAAAUUAAUUUUAGUGAAAGUGUUGGGUACCACCAUAAAUGCCUAUUCAAAUUUGUUAUUUGUUGGACAUUUGAUUUCGUGGUUCAAGGGUUACUACAAAAUCCACUAAUAUUGGUAUCAAAAGAAUAAUAAUAAAUCCACAGUAUAUGUUAAUGGUUAUGAUAGAAAAAUGCUGUGUUUGCAGUUAAUGAUCUAAUCCUAUUUGUUUGUACACCAAGAACCAUCCAAAAUCCAAAAAAAAAAUGAUGCUUCAUUUUUAUGGAAAGUUAUUUUACAAAAUUUUGACCCAUUGACCAUUCCCACUUAUCUUCAUAUAAAUCUGGAACCACAACGUUUUUCUCUCGAUGCCUAAAGCUAUUUAGUAAAACAAUAUUAUUGUUAAUUGUCUAAAUUACCUCUAAAAUUAUCUACAUUGACAAGCAAAUUCCUUGUAAACAUAACAAUUUAAACUGAAAAUGAAAUCCAAAGCUAAAUUACAGCAGAUAAUACAAAUUACCAUCACAUCAAAACGUAAACAAACAUCUCACAGAUCAUUAUACUUUUAACCAGAUUCUUCCAAGAUUAUGCAUAAUAUAAAACAAAAUAAAUUUAAUGAUUCAAAAUCAAAUGCAUUCUCGGUAAUAUUUUUAAAUUGUACACCAUAUUGCUUUGAUUGGUUGAUAUUUUCUUAAACAAUUGAUCUUCAACCAAUGGUGGGAAGUUAUAUUCAUUUUGGCGUAAAACCAAUGAAAUUACCCACAAUUCUUUGAAUCUGGUGAAUUACCAAUGUAAUAUAUAAGGAAUGGAAUGCAAUUAUCUGUAAACAAAACAAUAAAUGUACCUUAACAUAGUUUGAUAAAUAUCAAAUUAUUUUAUCAAAUAUAUUGGCUGGCAAGAUGAUCAUGAUUUUUCUUUGUUGUAAAAAAUAUAAAAUGUGUGAAGCAAAGAUUCCAUGACCUCCAAAAUAAUGUGGGGUUUUACAGUAAUUUAAAUGUCUAACUAUGGUUAUAAUUUCCACACAAUAUAUAAACAAAUUUGUAUCUUACCCAACUUUAACUUGUUAGAUAUAUAUUUUGAAAAUGACAUGUUGCAUUGGUUUUUAUUUUUCAUUUAGCACAGCUUAAACUAAAGCUGAAGUUGUUAUUUAAUUCUUGUGUUACAAUGGCUUGUUAAGUUUUUUAUCUUCCGUUUCUUGUAUAAGAAAUUCAGAUAGUGAAGUGUCCCAAAAUGUUACCCAUAUUUGUAAGGAUGAAAAAAUGGUCCAAAAUAUGAAUCAACAAAUCUUUGUUAACUAAAAACAAAAUAUCACAUAAAUCUGUUACUAUGGUAAUGUAUCAUACUCCCUCAAAUACAAAAAUAUAAUCCUUUUAUUCUAAUCCUUCACAAAAUAAUGAAAUCUCUCAACAAUUUCUUAAAAAUCUAAAUAAAGAAUUGUAUGCUAACAAUACAAUACACAAUGGCAGUACUUAUGGGUAUACUAAUAUGGUUUAUGAAUACACUUUUUUUUAAGUCCUGCCCCUAAAGUUGCCAUGAUGGGGCCCCAUUUUCAAAAUCCUAGAUAUGCAAACACCACAGUUUUUAACUCAAUGAAACAAAACAACAAACAUCACCAUUUCAAUGAUUUCUACAACAAUUUUUUUUUGAUGUUUAGCCUUCAUUUUUUCUUUCUUUUCAUGUACAGCACCUUAACAAAGCACAACAACUGAACAUUUUCAUUAAUAUAGAGACAUUUGAAAUAUUUUCAAACUACAAUAGCAAUAAAAGAAGAUUAAAGAUUAAAUUAAAUAUAAACGCUGUCAAUCUAUUUUUGGCUUGUUUAUCCAGGCACUUUAAGAAAUAAUGCUAACAUUAAGUUUUGAUAUAAUUACAUUUAGUGGUAAAUUCUGUAACUAUGUGAACAUAAAGAAAAAUAUCACAUUUUUCCAAAAACAAAAGAGAUUCAGUUAUAUAUAAGUCAUUCAGUAUUACAACCAAUUGGAAACAAUUCUCAUAGAGUUUUAAAUUAAAUUUUUGAAUCAAAUUUUUAAAUCAAAUUUUUAAAUCAAAU